Long non-coding RNA from Pomacea canaliculata, 1524 nucleotides. RefSeq lists it as uncharacterized. NCBI's taxonomy places the organism in Eukaryota, Metazoa, Mollusca, Gastropoda, Architaenioglossa, Ampullariidae. The record is from RefSeq and is a predicted model, not a curated record. The transcript is spliced from 2 exons.
UAUUUUUUAAUGUAAAACUAGUCAAAUCUAUUUUAACUGCUUGGCUGCACAGCAAAACAAAUCAUCACAGAAAAAUUGAUUCAAGGAAAAAAAAAAAUAAAAAGCAAUUUGUAGCAAACUUUGGAAGCCAUAUUUCAUAAGCACCUCAAGAGCUUAACGAGCAAUGACUGUGCCACAACGGGCCAAUAAAAGUCCUUCAAGCAAUGAGCUGAACUCUAGGCAUCUCACUUAAUGCUCUUCCUCUUAACGUAUUCUGACUACUAGCCUUUCUUUCAUUGAGGAUAUGGACCUGUAUAUGUUAAACAAUCCUUGUGGGCAACAGGGCAAAUGUCAAGGCAAUUGACAACUUAUUUAAAGUAAGAUGCUUCACAGUCUCAGAAAUUUUGCCUAUUCCUACAAAUUGGAAGAUGAUUUCAACAGAAACUGACCUCUUCUGGCUGACUUAUACAUUAUACAGACACAUGGAUGCAAGGUGCGCUGGGUCUGGAUGUGCAAGCCGCAACUCUAUGCGAAAUGUAACUAGAAGAGUUUAGACUGGACAUUAGUAAGAUGCAUGAUUUGUAACAUGUAGCAGCGUUUAUACACCUGCAAUCUGAUGUCUUCAACUUGUAGCUUCUUCUGUAAGGGCUGUAUGAGGGGGCCAGCCACUCACUGUGUCAGGAGGUUAGUGAUGAGAGUGUGUGGAUACUACAAUAAUUGAGAAGCGCGCGUGUGCACGUGUGUGCGUGCUUGCGUGUCACAACAUUUGUACACGCGCGCGUGUGUGCACGCUCGGGGGGUGAGAAUUGAAUUUUUGUUUGAAUCGCUAAAUUUGUAUCCGCAUAAGUAGCGUGAACUAAGAAUUUCCAGGUCUGUUUGCUGCCAGUGCGUAUUCUCAAUGUUAAUAUAAAUAAAUAACAGAUUUAACUAUUACUGAAUAUUUAUACAAUGAAUCGACGAACAAGCAUCUCCUUGUUCAAGAUUUGUUUUUCAAAUCAACUACACUGUCCUUAUUGUUCCAGAAAAAAAUCCAGAAGACACAUCGCAGUCCGGAGGUCACUGUUCACCCUGCGGUCUUUGUACCAGACGCACAAAACCGCUUUUGACUGCUACAAGUUUAUGGAAACACCACCCCAUCCUUAUCGCUGAAGCUCUUUUAUAUUAUCAGCUAAUAGUCUGCAAAGUGUUGGGUGUAUCAUAAAAACUAUAAAGACGCAACAGUAGCCCUUUUAAAAAAGUUUUAAUGCAACCACAGAAGGGUUUAAAUAUCCGAUGUUCCUCAAGUUUAAUGUACAAUGAUAGCUCCAGAAAACUACUAUUUUCUGACAGCUAUUACGACUUUUCUAGUAAGUCUGACAUGUUAAAAAACCAAAGAUUUUUUUCUUGAACCUUCUGGUCUUGCCAGGAAGAUGUCGAUCAGGGUUUUCUAAUAAGGUCUGAUAAACCACAGCAUAGACGCCUCCUAACCACGCCUCUAACAAAGGCAUGUAGGUGGACAUUUUUCUAGAAAUCAACCAAACUUUUAAAUUGUGUUUCCAUGCUUGA